Molecule: ribosomal RNA, 440 nt
Filed under: uncultured bacterium
Lineage: Bacteria
Description: partial 16S ribosomal RNA
Rfam family: Bacterial small subunit ribosomal RNA
Source: RNAcentral
CCUACGGGCGGCAGCAGUGAGGAAUAUUGCACAAUGGGGGAGAGCCUGAUGCAGCGACGCCGCGUGAAUGAAGAAGGAUUUCGGUAUGGAAAACUCUAUCAACAGGGGAAUAAAGUGCGGAACGUGUCCAAUAAGCCCCGGCUAACUACGUGCCAGCAGCCGCGGUAAUACGGAGGGAGCAAGCGUUAUCCGGAUUUACUGGGUGUAAAGGGGGCGUAGACGGUUAUGUAAGUCUGGAGUGAAAGCCUGGGGCCCAACCCCGGGACUGCUGUUGAAACUGUUUAACUGGAGUAUAGGAGGGGUAGGCGGAAUGCGUGGUGUAGCGGUGAAAUGCGUAGAUAUCAGGCGGAACACCGGUGGCGAAGGCGGCUUGCUGGACUGAAACUGACGUUGAGGCUCGAAAGCGUGGGGAGCAAACAGGAUUAGAUACCCGGGUAGUC